UAUUCAUAUGCCUUGGCUGCCUAAAAAUCAAUGGCAGCCCGUCCUUUAUAACUUGUGCCUGUCCAGGUUAUAAAGGGCGUGGAAAAAGACAGGCUCACGCUAUCUCUCUUCUCGGAGGAGAUGGCGUGAACAAAAAUUCCGAGAUAGUCCCGCUAUCUUUAGGUGCCUGUCCUUAAAGGCGGGGCGAAAUUUUAAAGACAGGCUAAGCGUGUAGAUGUUUUAAGUGUCUGGCUUCCGGACCCGGGUUCGACUCCCGG
This 257-nucleotide unclassified non-coding RNA is filed under the name Candidatus Kryptobacter tengchongensis. Its description in RNAcentral is "transfer-messenger RNA". It matches the Rfam family "transfer-messenger RNA", at positions 105 to 363 of the family's 374-position model. Rfam says of the family: Bacterial tmRNA, also known as 10Sa RNA or SsrA, is named for its dual tRNA and mRNA-like properties. The record is from RNAcentral. Lineage: Bacteria; Pseudomonadati; Candidatus Kryptoniota.